UGCACUCAUUUAAGGGCAGCUCUCUGAUAUGGAAAUCUUUUCUGCGUGAGGGCUGCUUCUUGGGGCUGAGUGUUCUGGUGUUACAGUCCUACAUCACCAGUUGGAAAAAAAACUCUCAGAAUUCAUGCAUGUCACUGUACACCUGGAUCAUCAUUCAUCCUGAGGUUCUCAUUGAUUGCAGAAUAUCACAUAGAAAAAGCUCAGAAGUCUCCAGAAAUGCUUGAAGAGGAGCCAGAAGCAGCAAAGAUCAGCAGGUCUGGAUAUGUUUAAGGUUAAACUCUCAAAUGAAGGGACUGUGUCCAUCUCUGUCCUCUUUCCUUCCUACGUGUGAAAUAUAACACGGGCACGCUUCUCUGAGUAAAUGUGCGUCAGUAAGCACAGCAGUCUUUUGUGUUUUGCAUUAUUGAAUCAGGUGAAUCAGAAAUAACUCCAUGAAUAACAAAUGAAUUACUGUUAAUUAAAAAGAUUUUGGCCUGGAAUUUGUGUGGCUAUACAAGUAUUGGAAUGAAGUGAAAUGGAAGUCUUAAACGUAGAUGUAAUAUAUUUGAUAUUCUAACAAUAAGUUGUC
Molecule: long non-coding RNA, 568 nt
Organism: Gallus gallus (chicken)
Lineage: Eukaryota; Metazoa; Chordata; Aves; Galliformes; Phasianidae
Source: Ensembl